AUAGCUGCAUUUAAAAAUCACUAGAAAUAGUUGCUCUCUGGGUUGUUAUGGCAUCAAUUCUGUAAGCAGGUUCAUUUCUUUUAAUUUAAUUUUGUUUUAUAGUAAUUAUUUUUAAAAAUUUAAUUUACUCUUAUACCUAUAUAAGAUAUUACAAAGAACCAGACUCACAAUUCUAAAAAAUAAGGUAUAUUUAGAGAAAUCUAACUUCUAUCCUUGUCCCCUCUGCUAUGUUCCCUCCUUUCCCUAUAGAUAACCAUUUCAAAAGUAUUUUAAAAAAAUAAACAUUUCCUACAGUCUAAUAUACAUGUAUGAAAGAGAACACGUCAUAGACAUAUAGUGCAAUGAGUUAUCACAAAGUGAAAACAUCACAAUAUCACCACAUACUUGCUUAAGAACUAAAACAUCACUAGAACACCCAGAAGUUCCUCUCAUGUAUUCUCGAUCACCAUUCCUUUCUUCCUCCCC
This 465-nucleotide long non-coding RNA is filed under the name Homo sapiens (human). Its description in RNAcentral is "HSALNT0286252". Lineage: Eukaryota; Metazoa; Chordata; Mammalia; Primates; Hominidae. The record is from RNAcentral.